Molecule: long non-coding RNA, 1057 nt
Filed under: Homo sapiens (human)
Lineage: Eukaryota; Metazoa; Chordata; Mammalia; Primates; Hominidae
Description: HSALNT0202978
Source: RNAcentral
GCUGGCCACCUCAGCCAGGGAUGGCAACCCGCUGGGGUCUCCUUCCGCUGUGUGGAAGGGUUGUUUUUCUGCUCUUCGCAAUAAAUCUUGCUGCUGCUCAUUCUUUGGGUCGCCGCCGCCUUUUAUGAGUUGUAGCACUCACCGCGAAGGUCUGCAGCUUCACUCCUGAAGCCAGCUAGAGCCAGCGAGACCACGAACCCACUGGGAGGGAUGAACAACUCCGGACUCGCCACCUUUAUGAACUGUUAACACUCACAGCGAAGGUCUGCAGCUUCACUCCUGAAGCCAGCGAGACCACAAACCCACUAGGAGGAAUGCACAACUCCUGAUGCCCUGCCUUUAAAAGCUGUAACGGUCACUGCGAAGGUCUGCGGCUUCAUUCCUGAAGUCAGCGAAACCACGAACCCACCUGAAGGAAGAAACUCCGGACACAUCCGAACAUCAGAAGGAACAAACUCUGGACACACCAUCUUUAACUGUAACACUCACCACGAGGGUCCGCAGCUUCAUUCUUAAAGUCAGCGAGACCAAGAACCCACCAAUUCCGGACACGCAAGUAUUCGUAACGUUCUUCUGUUCCAAGAAAAAUGGUCUUCUUACUUCCUUGAUGGCUCACAACAUGCUCCUUUCUACUGCAGGAACACUGUAUAACUUCUGUCAAGCAUGAACUCCCCACCUCUGUUUGACAUACUUCUCUACUUUCAGAACUCAGCUGAACUAUCGCUUCUCAAGGGAGCACUCAAACUUCCUGAACAGAGUAAGAGAUUUGUCUCUUCUGAAGUCACAAAACUUGAUAAUAAAACUAAUGGAAUGAUAUGACUUGUAACUAUGUACUCAAAUUGAAAAUAUCAAUUACCAUCUUUAUCUACAUUAUUAGUAACACAUUUUUGUUUGCAUGGGCUCAAAAAUAUUGGGUUCUAAUUAUAUAUCACAUAAUAUGCAGAAUAUUUUGCAGCUAUGGACUCCAGUCCUUAAAAGAGGAUUGAAGAUAUGAGAUCAAUGGAUUUCAGGAAUGUUUUUUACUGAAUGUCAGUUAGCAGCCAGAGAUAGAAUUCAG